RNAcentral lists this ribosomal RNA (865 nucleotides) under uncultured bacterium. RNAcentral describes it as "bacterial SSU rRNA". It matches the Rfam family "Bacterial small subunit ribosomal RNA", at positions 11 to 915 of the family's 1533-position model. The record is from RNAcentral.
GUUUGAUCCUGGCUCAGGAUGAACGCUGGCGGUAUGCUUUACACAUGCAAGUCGUACGAGAGUUUUUAACUCAAGUGGCGGACGGGUGAGUAACACGUAAGAAUUCGCCUUUAGGAGGGGGACAACAACUGGAAACGGUUGCUAAUACCCCAUAUGCUUUCGAGUGAAAUGGUUUUUCCGCCUAAAGAGAAGCUUGCGGCUGAUUAGCUUGUUGGUAAGGUAAUGGCUUACCAAGGCGACGAUCAGUAUCUGGUUUGAGAGGACGAUCAGACACACUGGAACUGAGACACGGUCCAGACUCCUACGGGAGGCAGCAGUGGGGAAUUUUCCGCAAUGGGCGAAAGCCUGACGGAGCAAUACCGCGUGAGGGAUGAAUGCCUAUGGGUUGUAAACCUCUUUUUUCAGGGAGGAACAAAAUGACGUGUACCUGAAGAAUAAGCAUCGGCUAACUCCGUGCCAGCAGCCGCGGUAAGACGGAGGAUGCAAGUGUUAUCCGGAAUCACUGGGCGUAAAGCGUCUGUAGGUGGUUUAAUAAGUCAACUGUUAAAUCUUGAGGCUCAACCUCGAAACCGCAGUCGAAACUAUUAAACUAGAGUAUAGUAGGGGUAAAGGGAAUUUCCAGUGGAGCGGUGAAAUGCGUAGAGAUUGGAAAGAACACCGAUGGCGAAGGCACUUUACUGGGCUAUUACUAACACUCAGAGACGAAAGCUAGGGUAGCAAAUGGGAUUAGAUACCCCAGUAGUCCUAGCUGUAAACAAUGGAUACUAGAUGUUGAACAGAUCGACCUGUGCAGUAUCAAAGCUAACGCGUUAAGUAUCCCGCCUGGGAAGUAUGCUCGCAAGAGUGAAACUCAAAGGAAUUGACG